CCAAUAGCGUAUAUUAAAGUUGCUGCAGUUAAAAAGCUCGUAGUUGAAUUUCGGGACCAAUAUGUCGGUCGUGCUUCGGUACGUACUGUCAUAAUUGGUUUCUCCCUUCUGAAGAACCUUGAUGUCAUUAAUUUGGUGUCUUGGGGAAUCAGGACUGUUACUUUGAAAAAAUUAGAGUGUUUAAAGCAGGCUCGCGCUUG
This 200-nucleotide ribosomal RNA is filed under the name uncultured Glomus. RNAcentral's name for it is "partial small subunit ribosomal RNA". It matches the Rfam family "Eukaryotic small subunit ribosomal RNA", at positions 591 to 797 of the family's 1831-position model. Lineage: Eukaryota; Fungi; Glomeromycota; Glomeromycetes; Glomerales; Glomeraceae. The record is from RNAcentral.